This 69-nucleotide transfer RNA is filed under the name Caecilia volcani. RNAcentral describes it as "tRNA-Ile". Lineage: Eukaryota; Metazoa; Chordata; Amphibia; Gymnophiona; Caeciliidae. The record is from RNAcentral.
GACAUGUGCCCGAAAAUUAAGGACCACUUUGAUAGAGUGCACCAUAAGAGUUUAAACCUCUUCAUGUCC